GACGAACGCUGGCGGCGUGCCUAAUACAUGCAAGUAGCACGCUGAAGGAGGAGCUUGCUUCUCUGGAUGAGUUGCGAACGGGUGAGUAACGCGUAGGUAACCUGCCUGGUAGCGGGGGAUAACUAUUGGAAACGAUAGCUAAUACCGCAUAAUAUUGACUAUUGCAUGAUAGUCAGUUGAAAGGUGCAACUGCACCACUACCAGAUGAACCUGCGUUGUAUUAGCUAGUUGGUGGGGUUACGGCUCACCAAGGCGACGAUACAUAGCCGGCCUGGGGGGGGGGUCGGCCCACCCGGGACUGGGACCCCGCCCCGGCUCCUUCGGGGGGCAGCCGUAGGGAAUCUUCGGCCAUGGGCCGAAGUCUGACCGAGCAACGCCGCGUGAGUGAAGAAGGGUCUCGGAUCGUAAAGCUCUGUUGUAAGGGAAGAACGAGUUGGAGAGUGGAAAGCUCACACUGUGACGGUAUCUUACCAGAAAGGGACGGCUAACUACGUG
RNAcentral lists this ribosomal RNA (495 nucleotides) under uncultured bacterium. RNAcentral's name for it is "partial 16S ribosomal RNA". It matches the Rfam family "Bacterial small subunit ribosomal RNA", at positions 28 to 507 of the family's 1533-position model. The record is from RNAcentral.